UAAAGGUUUGGUCCUAGCCUUCCUAUUAGUUAUUAGCAGAAUUACACAUGCAAGUUUCCGCAUCCCAGUGAAAAUGCCCUCUAAAUCUCCAAAUGAUUAAAAGGAGCGGGUAUCAAGCACACUAAACAAGUAGCUCACAACACCUUGCUCAACCACACCCCCACGGGAUACAGCAGUGAUAAAAAUUAAGCCAUAAACGAAAGUUUGACUAAGUCAUGCUAACAUUAGAGUUGGUAAAUUUCGUGCCAGCCACCGCGGUCAUACGAUUAACCCAAAUUAAUAGGUCCCCGGCGUAAAACGUGUUAAGGACACCAUAAUACUAAAGUUAAAAUUUAGCUAGGCCGUAAAAAGCUACCGCCAACAUAAAAUAUGCCACGAAAGUGACUUUAUUAUUUCCGACAACACGAUAGCUGAGACCCAAACUGGGAUUAGAUACCCCACUAUGCUCAGCCCUAAACAUAAAUAAUUCCAACAACAAAAUUAUCUGCCAGAGGACUACUAGCAAUAGCCUAAAACUCAAAGGACUUGGCGGUGCUUUAUAUCCCUCUAGAGGAGCCUGUUCUAUAAUCGAUAAACCCCGAUAAACCUCACCACUUCUAGCUAAACCAGUUUAUAUACCGCCAUCGUCAGCAAACCCUCAAAAGGAAGAAAAGUAAGCACAAUAAUAUUACAUAAAAAAGUUAGGUCAAGGUGUAACCAAUGAAGUGGGAAGAAAUGGGCUACAUUUUCUAACCAAGACUAAUACCUACGAAAGUUUAUAUGAAACCUACAAACUAAAGGUGGAUUUAGUAGUAAAUUAAGAAUAGAGAGCUUAAUUGAAUAGGGCCAUGAAGCACGCACACACCGCCCGUCACCCUCCUCAAACAACACACCAAAACAUUACAUAAUACAAAACAAACCAACGCAAGAGGAGAUAAGUCGUAACAAGGUAAGCACACUGGAAAGUGCGCUUGGAUAAAC
Molecule: non-coding RNA, 960 nt
Filed under: Taxidea taxus (American badger)
Lineage: Eukaryota; Metazoa; Chordata; Mammalia; Carnivora; Mustelidae
Description: 12S ribosomal RNA
Rfam family: Bacterial small subunit ribosomal RNA
Source: RNAcentral